RNAcentral lists this ribosomal RNA (701 nucleotides) under Acinetobacter schindleri. RNAcentral's name for it is "bacterial SSU rRNA". It matches the Rfam family "Bacterial small subunit ribosomal RNA", at positions 555 to 1256 of the family's 1533-position model. Lineage: Bacteria; Pseudomonadati; Pseudomonadota; Gammaproteobacteria; Moraxellales; Moraxellaceae. The record is from RNAcentral.
UGGGCGUAAGCGUGCGUAGGCGGCUUUUUAUGUCGGAUGUGAAAUCCCUGAGCUCAACUUAGGAAUUGCAUUCGAUACUGGAAAGCUAGAGUAUGGGAGAGGAUGGUAGAAUUCCAGGUGUAGCGGUGAAAUGCGUAGAGAUCUGGAGGAAUACCGAUGGCGAAGGCAGCCAUCUGGCCUAAUACUGACGCUGAGGUACGAAAGCAUGGGGAGCAAACAGGAUUAGAUACCCUGGUAGUCCAUGCCGUAAACGAUGUCUACUAGCCGUUGGGGCCUUUGAGGCUUUAGUGGCGCAGCUAACGCGAUAAGUAGACCGCCUGGGGAGUACGGUCGCAAGACUAAAACUCAAAUGAAUUGACGGGGGCCCGCACAAGCGGUGGAGCAUGUGGUUUAAUUCGAUGCAACGCGAAGAACCUUACCUGGCCUUGACAUACUAAGAACUUUCCAGAGAUGGAUUGGUGCCUUCGGGAACUUAGAUACAGGUGCUGCAUGGCUGUCGUCAGCUCGUGUCGUGAGAUGUUGGGUUAAGUCCCGCAACGAGCGCAACCCUUUUCCUUAUUUGCCAGCGGGUUAUGCCGGGAACUUUAAGGAUACUGCCAGUGACAAACUGGAGGAAGGCGGGGACGACGUCUAGUCAUCAUGGCCCUUACGGCCAGGGCUACACACGUGCUACAAUGGUCGGUACAAAGGGUUGCUACCCU